Molecule: small nuclear RNA, 102 nt
Filed under: Procavia capensis (Cape rock hyrax)
Lineage: Eukaryota; Metazoa; Chordata; Mammalia; Hyracoidea; Procaviidae
Source: RNAcentral
GGGCUCAGCAGCACAUGUACUAACACUAGAAUGCUAAAGAGAAGAUUAGCAUGGCCUCUGUGCAAGGAUGGCAUGCAAAGUCAUGACGAUUUCCAUAUUUUU